AGGGGGGGCCCCGCGCUCCCCCGCCCCGGCCACCAGCCCUGGCCCCCACCCCGCCCUGCCACUGCUUGGGGCGCCUGGAUCGCCGCGCCCCGGCCGCCGCGAGCCAUCUGCGGACGUUGUGCACCGCGGCGCCCGGCUCACACUUGCUCUUCCAGGACGCAGGUAGGGGCCGGGAAGGCUUGUAGGUCAUCUGAAACCUUAUAAACAGCAGGCACCAGUGCCUAGGAGAUGUUUGGGGGGUUUUCGAGCGGAUCCAACGAAGAGGCAAACGGGCGAGUGGGAUGUUGGAGAACCUUGGAGGCCUCCCGCCUGCCUGCCUACCCACCCGCCACCACCCACCUGAGGAAGGGAAGAAAGGGAAGUCGCUGUGGCAGCGGGAGCAGACCUGCCAGCUGCGUGUUGCCUAGAGGCGGGUUGACGGCCGGCCUCUCCCUCUCCUCCCCUGUGCCCAGCAUGACGCCUAACCCAACCUGGAUUUGUUCUGAGUGGCGGGGGAGAAAGUGAAAUGCCACCAGAUCAGUGGCAAGUAGCAGCUGCGGCGGCUCUCUCUUGGGAACCCCACUGCACAGAAGCCUCCGAGCGAUGUUUGUUUAAGCAACAGCUUUCAAAGUAAACACCAGCGAGUCCCUCCAAAGAAGUUGGGAGCCAUGAGGACUGACAGAAAAAGUAAUUUAAAAAAAAAUGACAAUAAAGAUUUCUCCCCACCAGAACAAAAAGAGAGAGAGAGCGCGCGCGCGCGCGCGCGCGCGCGCGCACACACACACACACACACACACACACACACACACGCACGCACUUUACCAUAAAACCGAUCGCCACACUCAUAGGAAAGACUUUAACACGCAACAAGGUGACCUCAAAGAAAAACACAACCCCACGGGGAUGAAGGGUUAUUGGUGAUUGAGGGGGGUCAUACGACAGCUUGAUGCGGGGAAGUGGACAGAAACGAACAAAGGGUAUUCCCUGCCCUAGAGGAAUAAGGAGUAGGCUGGAAGCUAUUCGCCGCCAGCCCUGGCUUUGCCUCAGGCACCGAACUUUCCAAUAUCAAGAUAUUAACAGAUGGCGCGGAGCGCAGGGAGGGCUCUUACUUACAUAACCCAGCCACUGCACCGGGCCGCGCAGCGACGCAAGAGGCACCCGCCAGGCCCUCGGCGGGGCUCUCAGACUCCCGGAGGUUGCUUGUUCAUCUGCAACCCCUCCCAGGCUUUGAGGGCGAGGGUGCAGAGAGUCUGUGAUUUCGGUUUUGCUCCCCCCCCCUUUCUUUUUUAAAACACACACAAGGGUUAUCUUAUCUUCUUCAGUCCACAACGGGGAAACUAGAAGAGCUUGGCUCAGCGAUAAGCAGAGGGAGUCCUGCAGAAACAAACGGGGUGCCUUUUCUCGUACUUGGGGGUAUCAUAGAGUGGAACCUACACACACACACACACACACACACACACACACACACACACACACAGACAGAGUCGCCGCCACCACCAGUGGGUGUGAUCAGCCUGUCUUGCUGUCAGCGAAGUUCAAAGGCAGGCUCCGGCCGCAGGGGCGCGGGAGUGGGUGGGGUGAGGGUGUUAGUGUCAGCGGACUCCUCUGCCCGCAGGGCGCAGUGGGCAAAAUCACACCAAUCCUCUGGGCACCGCCACUCUUCCCAGCCCGGACAGGGUGGGAACGCUCUGUGAGAAUGGCCGCGUGGCCUUCUGUUGUCUUCACGCCCAAGGCCACCUCUCUCAUGUCUGAGUCCCCUCGGUGCUGGCUUUCCAAAACCUGCGAGGAACACUCCGGCGCCUGCUGGAAAAACUGCGGGAAGAGCUGGAAGGUGGGGACUGUGCCCAGUCCGCACCAGGCACAAGUGGGGCUCCCUCCCGGUGUCCCCCUGUCCUCACUCCUGCCUGGCCUUCUCCUCUGGUUCCACGUUUGGCGUCGCAGCAUCCAGGCCCGGGAGAUGCUGACCGAUAGGUGCUGUGCGGUAUUUGCCGCCGAGCGUGCAGGGGUCCCGGCCACCUGCCCGCCGCUUGGCCUGUCCCCACCCGGGUCCUGCGGCCCUCGCCUCCUUCCUUGGCUGCCACAAGCGACCGCUCAGCUCUGUUCGCUCCGGUUCGGAGUACACUGGGCCGAACAGGGCAGCCACCUGCUCCCAGGCCGCGAGCAUCCCACGCAGCCGGGAGACGCGGGCCAUGGCCAGGCCCCCGCUGUCGCCGCCAUGUCCCCUCCCCCGCCUGUUGCUGCGGAGGUGGCGCGCCAAAGCCGGUGCAGAUACUGGUGCUGAGACGGGGACCCUCUGCAGGGACAGAGAGAGGGUGGGAUGUGGCAAGGGUUGGCAGGGUGGUCUCCCCUUUGCCCAGUACAGCGCCGUUCACGGGUGUACGGGUGUACGGAUGUUUUUCUGCCUCUUUUCCUUUGGCCUCUGAGUCAAGGGGGAGAUUUCAGAGGUGUUUCUGCGUUUUCUGGGUUUUUGGUAAUGGGAAUGAAGUUACAGAUACAGUCUCGGUGUUGACUGAGGACUCUCACUAGAGACAAACAGGCUCGGGUCUAACACCACAGAAGGGAAGCCCAGCAAAGUUGCAUUUUGUUUAAAUUAAAGCACAACCAAGCUGAAAGCCAGAUCUCUCUAUUUUUUUCUGGUAAUAUUUCUUUUAUGAAGUAUCUAAGUAUCUGUUUGUCAUCAUUUUGAGAUCAAAAGGCAAAGCCCAUAUGCUACAUAGUUUCCCAAAAUUGCUGUUUAAAUAUGUUUUAAACGUUUUAUCCAACGUGGAGGAGGAGCAGACUGCUAGGAGGCUAGCAUGGUGACAGGGUUGGGAGGCAGAGGUGUGGGGCAAGUGGAUCUGAGGACCAGCCAAUCAUCAAACUUACCCAAGAUGCAUUAAAAAUAUCUUGACCCGACUUGAGGAUCCAAGGGAGGACCUAGGAAUCUGAGGGUAACAGCAGGUCACUGUCCAGGAGUUGCCUACUCUCUGUGACCUUUCAUUGUACGUGACUAUGCCUCAGUUCUCUUUAUCUGUAAAAUGGGGAUAAUAUUCCAAACCACAGACUUACAGAGAAGCUUUGACACAGAGUUGUUUAAGAUGCAAUUGUUACUUGGCUGUAUUAGAACAAGAGGGCAGGCAAUGGUACCUGGACUGUUUACAAAAAUGCCCGAACAUGGGACCUCCCUCCUGUUUCCAACCUUUGGGUGAAGUUAGUUAAACAUGAAUGCUUUGUGAGACUAGCUCAUGAAGGAAGGGUAUCUGAGAAUUUUAUAUCCCCCCCCAUAGCAUUUAAGCAUACAAAAUAAAUUCAGAUCAAUGCUUGUCUGCAAACUUGGCUUGUGCUCCUGUGCACACAAAACUGUUUUAUAUCAAGCCCAAUCCCCCCAGGAAAGCAGGGGCCAUUUACCAUCAGAAGUGACAAAGUGUCUCUACAGAAGUUAGAGGUCAGGACACACAGGACAAAAGAACAAAAAAAAAAAAAUCAACAACAAGAGCAAAAGCCUCUACUAGAGAGGGAACUGCAAGCAGGAAAAAUAAGGUCAAUAUUUCUGGGCAAAACAAAAACAAAUGUAUGUCACAUGUCACAUGUUUUUAUAUGUUUGAAUAAAUGUCUCUCCUGAGUACACGUAAAGUUAAGAAAAAAAAAAGAAGAACUUCAUAAAAUUACACUGAAGCCAUUGCAGCCAAGCCACUGCAAGGCAAUACAGAAUUCUGCCAGGCCAAAGGCAGCUGUGAGCAGGAAAGGGAAACAGGCAGGUAGGUGCCGAGCCUGGCUGCCACGGUGUGCCCUGGCAAAGGCAGACAGCCAAGGAAACGAACCUGCUGACCUAGUGUGCACCAGAUCAAGGUGCUGGCCAGUUAGAGCCAGAGAAGCAGCAUUCAGUAGCAGGGGCCCUGGGAACCACCCAAAACGCCUGAGACAAGAGCUCUAGAUUACAGGGGUUCAGCAAAGGAAUGUCACCUCAAAUCAGCUCAGGGUGUGGAUGGGCGGUGGAGGACACCUCCCUUCCAUACCUGUCCUUGGACAUUGGUAUGUAUCUUUGGGGAGUGUGGGAAGUCUUGGGCUCCCUAGCUAGUUCCUGUUCAGGUAGAAAAUGCAUGUGACUCUGCAGGACAAAGGAAAAUGACAGCUAAGAAAACUGGAGAGGUGCACGGUACUGAGGCUAAGCUGUUGGGGAGGACAAGGCAACUUGUGUCUUCUGGUCAGAUGCCCUUGCCUACUGGAAGGAAUGCUUUUUCGACACUUUAUUUGUGGGUGGGGGAGCAGGAAAAGCACGUGUGUGUGUGUGUGUGUGUGUGUGUGUGUGUGAGAGAGAGAGAGAGAGAGAGAGAGAGAGAGAAAAGGAAAGAAAAAGAGAGGGGGAGAGAGACAGACCUCCGUUUGGCAGGAGAAAGAGAAAACCAUGGUGGGUGACAGAAAGUGGGCAGGGGGAUCUAAAGGUGUGGGUGGAGAUUGAGAGAGUACAGGUGUGGAUGUGGGUGUGUGGGUAUGGGGUCCCUGUAGAGUGUGAGUGAUCCAGAUGGGUUGUGUAUAGCAAGAGUACCAGGAGAGAGAAUGAGAACUGAGGGCAGCAAGGUGUGUGUAAGGAACUAGAGGAUGCUGAACACCUUGCUGGGCAUUUGUCAUCCAUUUCCAGUCCUCACACUCCUGAAGAGUGAGCAGGGUUGAGGUGGGAGUUAAAGGCCAGGCAAGAGUAAGGAAGUGAGGCAGGAGGCUAAAUUUGGCCUGGGUUCUGGUUCUAGUCUGGCAAAGGCCAAGGUUUCUUGGCUUCCUCUAGCCUAGAGUUUUGAAGCAGCUCCCUUGAUAAUCCCAGGUUGGCUGUGAAGGGACUUGGACUAACAGUUCAUAACCAUCACCCAUAGAGGACAGACAUCCUGUCCCCACUGUGUGCGCACGCACGUGUGUGUGUGUGUGUGUGUGUGUAUGUUUGUGUGUGUGUGUUUGUGUGUGUUUUGUGUAUGUUUGUGUGUGUGUGUUUGUGUAUGUUUGUGUGUGUGUUUGUGUGUGUUUUGUGUAUGUUUGUGUGUGUGUGUUUGUGUAUGUUUGUGUGUGUGUGUUUGUGUGUGUGUAUGUUUGUGUGUGUGUAUGUUUGUGUGUGUGUGUUUGUGUGUGUAUGUGUGUGUGUAUGUUUGUGUGUGUGUGUUUGUGUGCGCACGCGUGUGUGUAUGUUUGUGUGUGUAUGUGUGUGUGUAUGUUUGUGUGUGUGUGUAUGUUUGUGUGUGUGUGUGUGUGUGUGUGUGUGUGUGUGUGUGUGUGGCCUCUGCUCAGUCAGUGACCCUUAGGUACGUUGUUCGUGCUUGUUGUCUCCUAGACUCUGCACAUCAGCUUCCCCCUUUGCUCCUAAAUCAGUCUCCUUCUGCCCCACCUAAGGUCCGGAAUUGACCUGUUCUUUCCUCCAGACCCUAGAAGAGCCAUUUCUUCUUUCUCAAACAAACACUGGAGAGCUCUUCUUGUCUCUCCUCGGGGAUUAUGUCUAGCUCCAGUUCUGGAAGGGUCUCGUAGGAGUGGAACUCCAAUCUGACUCAGGAAAGGGGACCAUUUUCUUGAUUCCAAGGCACCACUGCUGCUAAGCCCUGCAAAGCCUGGCAUUUGGCGGCCCCGGAGAGGGCAGCCUGUAGCCAAUUCUGGCGCUGACCCAACACGAGCAGUGAUUAGCUGUGUUUGAUUUGGUCAGCUUUCUGAAGCCUCAGCUAGGAGCUCUGUUCUACAAAAUCUGGACGAGAGGCCAAAGCAUGAAAACCUCAUUUUCUCAUAUUCCAAAGUGACCUUUGCAUAAAAUCAGCGGAGAUGAGAUCGGCAGGAAGAUGUUGAGCUUCCACGGCAGCUAUGGCCACCGUGUCAGAGGAUGCUCUCUCUGUACCAUCCACUUUGUAUGCCCCACCCUUCUGUUUUUCUGCUGAAAAUAUUGUGGGUGGGCUGGAGAAGUGGCCCAGUGAUUAAGAACACUUGAUUCUCUCCUCAAAGCCCAGAGUUUGUCUCCUAGCACCUACCCUGCAUGGUUUACAACCCUCUGUAACUCCAGAACCAGGAGGUCUGACGUUCUCUUUCAGCCUCUGCUAGCGGUUACCCUCACAUGUACAUACCUCACACAGACUCACGCAUUCAUAUCAUUAAAAAUAAAUUCUAAAAUAGGAGAGUAGAUGUCAUCGAGUAUGGGAAAAGACCAUCAUUUAAAUAUGGCCUUUCGAAUAAAAGGAAAAUGUAAUGACCAUAGUCGCACAAUGGAUUUGUAAUUCCCACUAUAAAUAUUAUGCUCCUAAUUGCAGGAGCCUAUGCAAUAAAAUAUAAGAUUCUUAGCGAGGACUCGAAGUGGGUUGCAUCUGAUUCUCCCAACAGACAGGGCUUCCCUCAUAGCAUGGAGGAGUCAACUGAAUCUGGAGGAGAUCCCACAACUCAGUCAAGACCAAAGACAGUCAAUUGCGGAGUCUGGGUUGGAACCCAGUGUUUUGUGACAUUUUUUUCCUGGAGAGAUUAAACACAUAUCUACUUGGUUCAGCUAGGUAUCCCACGGCAGUCCAAAGUAGGGAUACCACCGAAGUCCGAUAUGGUGAACCAGUGAGUUUUAUUGGGGUUAUUUAAAGGAGAAUGUGUUGGGGACUACUUACAGGAGCAGAAGUGACUCAAAGACAGCUACGUCACCAAGUGGAAAUGAGGUCUUCAUACUUUUGCACCUCAGCAUGGGUGACAUUUCAGAGAAGCUGGAAACCUGGAGUGCACUGAACAGCCUGCAGGCAGCUCCACAGGUUGGAUAGUGUUCUCUCCAACUGACUCUGGUCUAAACCUCUACCAGGCAGCUUACCUGGCUUUUGUUUCUCCAGGCAGCUCUCUACUCUCCGAGUCUUUGCAGCUUGACUCUUCAAAGCUCUGCUUAGCUCAGCUGAGGGAAGCUCUCAGCUUUUAUUACUUUCUUUGGGAGGGUCUGGCCUAGUCAGUCUGGUCAGUUUCAGGGACUUCCUGAUGCUAUUUUUAGUUGUUUACCUUCUUGUUUAAGGAGCUUCCUUCUAUCAAUCUGGAGGAAACCAUUACACAACACAUAGGUCAUCCUGCUGGGAUGUGAGACAAAAUCCCUCAGGCUAUAGAAAUGUCUGCAGGAACAUUUGUUUGUUUGUGUGUGUGAAUUUUUUUUUUCUUGCAGUAUGUAUGUGUGUCCCUAGUGUCUAUGGAGGUCAGAAGAAGGCAUUCAGUCCUCUGGAACUGAAGUUACAGGUGUUUGUGAGCCACCACAUAGGGGCUGAGAAUGGACUCAGGUCCCCUGUAAGGGCAUACAGUGCUCCUAACUAUGGGGUUACCCCUCCAUCCCCUGCCUCGUUUUAAUAGGGCCAUUUCCACACCCUCAGCUUUCCCUUGACUAUCCUACCGUCAAUGUUUCCACCCCAAAACUGUGGAUAUUUUCACAAUAAACUUAUUGAAUGGAGAAAAAUUACCAAGCUGUCUGCUUCCAUUUUCCCUCUGGAUUCCAGCGAAGGCUGUGGAAGGGAAGCCACUCGGGCCAGGCUUCACUGCACAUCAGAGGACUCUGGCCGGCGGAUCCGAGGACCCCCAUUUUGUUGAAAAUAGAAUUGUAAAAAAAAUAAAGGUGGUGGGGGCAGGUUAAUCCUGUUAAACAUGGUGUGUGUUUCUGCAGCGCGCAGGGAGGGAUUAGAGGACGAAGGAGACCAAGUACUGUGUCAGCCUCGCCAGUGUCACUAAGGCGACAUGACAACUUGUCUUGCGCGAUCUUUACAGCAUGUUAGGCUGACUCAGAAGUGUUUUCUGGCGUCCCCUUUGUGUCCCCCAUGGGGUUCUUUCAUUUCUUAAACUUUCUUUCUUUCCCUGUCCCUUUCUUCCCCACACCACGGCUUUGCUUUUUAAUCCACGGUGUCUCCCUCAAGUCAAAACAUUUAGCUGGCUCUGAUCGAGAUUUGGUUUUGAAGAUGCCCUUUGACCUGGCACUGUGCAAAGCAGCCUCUGAGAAGUGUACAGUCCACCCUCAACCUUUUGCCCUUUCCCGGGGCUCCAGAAACAGCUUCUGGGGAAAACAGCUCGUUCUGGACCGCACAUCACACACAGGAGCUGCCCCCUCCCUUUUUCGUCCAUUCCUUCCUUCUCUCCUUCCCAUACUGAUUUACUUUCUCCACAAACCUUUCCACCUUUUUUGUUUCCCCACAUCUCCGGGGCAUUCACCCUGCCUAGAAUGUUCCUUGUCACAGCUCUCUCCUUUCUUUCUUCCUUGUUUGCUGUUUUCUCUUCAGUUCUCCUUCAGUCAACAGCUUCCUUUCAUCUGUUCUUUCCUAGAAAUACCUUCUUGGGCAGCAGGUACGCAGCGCUGACUCCAGGGCUCUGCUGCCCUAAGCACACUGAGCUGUGUCCUCCGUCUCACUCUCUGAGACUCUUUCCCCUGUUCAAUGUUAUUUAAUGACUUUUCCUCCUUUCCUUUCCUUUAAGCAGCACACGGACACUUGUAAUAAAAGGUUGUGCACCCUUGAAGUUUUCCAAGCUGAAGUGAGGUCAGGUGACCCGGGAGGUGGUGAGGGGCCCCACGGCUGACACAGCAAACGAAGGAAGAGGUGCCGUAGAGGAAGCGUGGGUCACUGUCUUUCCGAAGCAGGUGUCCAGCCCGGUUGGCCAUGUGGCUGGCUGUCCGUCUUUCUGAGGCUUAGACACCCUGUGGCCCACGGUCCCUUCCCCCGCUCCUGCUUUCCUCACUGGCUUACCACCAGAGACUAGAUGUUGAGUCAAUGGAAAAACAACGCUGGCCAACAUUAAAGGGAGACUGUUUGGGAAAGGAAGGCCCUGCUAGGCCGCAGAGGAAGCCUGCGUGUUAACACGGGCACCUCUUAUCUGGGGCAGCUGGGUCUGAGCUGAGUGUGCUCACUCUAUCCUUUGGCAAGAGGUCUUCUGCAGACAGGCAGCCUUGGGACUGAGGAGCCAUUCUCAGUCCAGAGUGUCCCCAGAACUGUAGAGACAAAAGCCAUUGCUCCCCCUAGAGACCGAGACAUGGACUGGGAAGCUAUGGUUUGAAGGGAGCAUGCUUCCUAAAGUCUCUGGAUUCUAUUCACCCUGGGCCCAGGGAACUAAUUCCCAUGUGCGGUGAGACUUCCCUUCUGGCCCAAAUGUGAGUCCUGGGAAGACUAGAGAGAAAGCAACCUGAAGGAAGGGGGGAGGGGCUCUGAGUUGCUUACUGGAGUCCUGAUAGAAGCAUAAGGCAAGUGGCUACCAGAGCACAGAUUCUCGGUAUCUUUUGUGGCCCAGUGAGCUACAGCACACUGACAUCUUCAGACCUCGUUCUGAGGAAAGGCUCGGCAGAACCUGUUAAGAGGAGGUCUGUCUCCUCAGCCUGCCUCAGAUCCACCAUGCCCAUCACCAAGAAGUGUUUUCUCGGCGAGGUGAAGUCCCUGUGAUAACGGCUGGACAUGUUACUUUGGGAAACAUUGGCUGCAUCCACAGUAACAGAACAGCUUGGAGUUCCAUUCUGCUUCUGGGCGAGUUUGAAUCAGACGCUAGAUGUGAGCUAGUCAUUGCUGCCUUUCCAUUUGUGCUGUGUGUGUGUGUGUGUGUGUGUGUGUGUGUGUAUCUGUGUGUGUGUAUCUGUGUGUGUCUGUAUGUGUGUGUAUUUGUGUGUGCAUGUGUCUGUGUGUGGGGGUGUGUGUUUCUGUGUGUGUGUGUGUCUCUGUGUGUGUGUAUUUGUGUGUGCAUGUGUCUGUGUGUGUAUCUGUGUGUGUAUCCAUAUGUGUGUGUCUGUGUGUGUAUCUGUGUGUGUAUCCAUAUGUGUGUGUAUUUGUGUGUGCAUGUGUGUGUGUGUGGGGUGUGUGUGUCUGUGUGUACAUGUGUGUGUGUCUGUAUGUGUGUGUAUUUGUGUGUGCAUGUGUGUGUGUGGGGUGUGUGUGUCUGUGUGUGCAUGUGUGUGUGUGUGUCUAUGUGUGUGUGUCUAUGUGUGUGUAUUUGUGUGUGUGUGUCUGUGUGUGUAUGUGUGUCUGUGUGUGUGUGUCUGUGUGUGUCUGUGUGUAUUUGUGUGUGUGUGUCUGUGUGUCUAUGUCUGUGUGUGUGUAUUUGUGUAUGUGUGUCUGUGUGUGUGUGUAUGUAUGUAUGUGUGUGUGUUGUGUGUAUGUGUGUGUGUUGUGUGUAUGUGUGUGUAUGUGUGUGUGUGUAUGUGUGUGUGUGUUGUGUGUAUGGGGCAGGCAGGUGUUAUUCCUCAGGCACUGUAUCUACACUCAUAUCACUUUUAUUUCUAAAUUGAAUUAAAUUUAAUAUUUAUAAUAAAUAAUUAAAUUAAAUUAUUUAUUUUUUUAUUCUUUCAUUUUUAUUCAUCUGAUUUUCUUAUAUUGUCCCCUUCCUUCCUUCCUUCCUUCCUUCCUUGCUUCCUUCCUUCCUUCCUUCCUUCCUUUGUCUCUCUCUCCCUCUCUCUCUACCUCCCCUCUCUCUCUCCCUCCCUCUCUCUCUCCCCCUCCUCUUUCUCUUCAUUUAUUUCUGAGAUAAGCCUCUUACUGGCCUAGUGCUUGCCCGGGAAGCUAGACUGACUGGCCAGCCAGCCCUGGGGAUCUGCCUGCUUCAGCCUCCCCCAGCACAAAGCUGAAUUAUAGCGUGCCUGUCACACCUGGGUUGGUUUUCUUGUUUUAUGCUUUUUUGGUUUGCAGGGUUUUUUGUUUGUUUGUUUUGUUUUGUUUGUUGUCUUAAGGUGGGAUGUGGGAAUGGAACUCAUGUCCUUAUGCUUGCAGGGCAAGCAAUUUACCAACUAAGCCAUAUUCCGAGCCCCACUUCUUGCUAGUGGCUGUCCUUGUUCCCCUCUGCUCUGGCCAUCUUGGUUGCCUGUGGCCCUGUCUGCAGGGACCCCCAUUCUUUGUUUCUUGGUGGUGGCACUUCUCAGUGUAUGUUUGAAACUCAGAAAAACUUUGCUUUUUUUUUUUUUUAAAAAAGAAAGAUAAAAAAGUAUUUGAUGUGUCUGAGUGUAUUGCCAGGAUGUAUGUCUAUAGAUGACAUGUGUGCCUGGUAUCCACAGAGGUCAGAAGACCUGAGCCCCUGGGAUUGGAGUUUCAGACAAUUUUCAGCCACCACAUGGGUGCUGAGAACCAAACCCAGGUUCUCUGCAAGAGCAUCCUGUGUUCUUAAUCUCUGAGCCAUCUCACUGGCCUCUUCCUCUUUUCUUCUUUUCCUUUUCUUUCCUUUCUUUUGUUCUUUUUAAAGGCAGACUGUCAUGUUGCCCUGUAGCUUUCCUCUUCUGUUCCUCCUGGUGACUCACCUUGAGUGCUGAGGCUACGGAGCUGUCACCAUUGCACACAAUUCCAUGUUCAAUUGUCCCCAGGGCUUCCUGUGUGCAGAUUAGGCAAGCAUUCUAUCAGUGCAGUCACAUCUCUACCAACUGAGCUAUACCCCAGCUCCCAGACAGAGUAAGGAACCAUCAGCCCUCCCAAAGCAUGACAGUGAGCGCUGAAUUUUAAAGAAGUGGAAAAUUGAAACAUGAAAUAACCCAUUUGGCUUCAGGACUUGCGACGAAUCAAGGCUAUUUUUCCUUUUGAAAGAAGCUACUUCUUUGGGAAGGUAGCCUCAAGAGUUGGGUUCUCUCUCCUCUCCUCUCCUCUCCUCUCCUCUCCUCUCCUCUCCUCUCCUCUCCUCUCCUCUCCUCUCCUCUCCUCUCCUCUCCUCUCCUCUCCUCCUCCUCUUCUUCUCUCUCCUCUCCCUUUCCCCCUCCCUCCCCCCUCUCAUUUUGUGUGUAUUAAAGGACAACUUGUGGUAGUCAGUUUGGAUCCCUUUUUCCACCAUAGGGGGGCUGGGAAUGGAAUACAGUUUGGCAAGCCCUCACGUGGCACGCCCUUACCCAGUGGGCCAAGGAGAUGGUUCAAGUGUUAAGUUUGUUUUAAUUUACACUAUUUUGACCUUUGUUUUGUGCUGUUCUCCUGUAGAUGUGCAACGUGACCCCAGGCAUGUAGCUCAUGUGUACUAUUAGAAGAACAAAAUCAAUCUGGUCUGAUGCUUCCCCAGGCCAGCCUAUAGGUCAUAACCCUGUAAGACAUCAGUGAACUUCACUCCUGGGCUUGUCUGUUCCCUCAGACAGGACAGGGAUGAUUACAGGAAUGCGAUUGGUAAACGUCCAUCCCCGUUGAAGGGUAAAAGGACAAAAUUGCACGUAUACGCUGCUGACUUCAAGUUUCCUUCUGUCUGGUCUCAGCCUCUAAUCACCAACACACCACUGCUCUCUCCUCAGAGAACCCAGUCAUCUGGGUGCUGGAUUAAUCUGUAGCUUCUCAGGGGAGUUGUUAACCAGUGGAAAUUCUGCCAGUGAUCUGUGGCACCCGUUUCAGCAAACACACAUUGAAUAACAGUCCCUCCUCCCCUGCCCCCAGCCACCCAUCUGUCCUCUCUUAUUCAAGGUUUGACUUUCAAACAGGGUAGAAAGCAAGCUUUUGUUCAAUCCCAUAUUUGUCCUAAGAAGACAAUCUAUGACACAGAUGACUUAUAACUUUCUAUAGCCUCGUCAAUAAGCAAAUAUCAUUGGUUUGAACCAAAAAGCUAAAUGUAAAAUACAUUAAAUUCUGCCUUAUUGUCUUAUUGUUCAUUCACCAAAGUGAAGUUUAUGAGUGUCUAGUUUUGAGGUUGCUUUGGACUUCUGAACAAUUUAGGGAUACAAAUGGGGUAAAAAGGGUAAGGGAGGGAAAAAUGAAAAAAAAGUAAAAAAAAUUAGUUGUUAUUAAAUGUACUAGUUAAGUUCUAGUUUUUAUAUGAAUGUUUGACUUUUUUAUAGCACCAACAGUGUUUCGUGGGUACAAGUCCUGUCAAGUAAAGCUAGGAAUGAACAUCGACCUCGGAGGUUCUGUAGCUUGCUACAGUGAGGAAACAAGGUUUGCAUUCCCACAUUUCCACAGGUCAGAAGGCAUCUGCAGUCACACCAAUCGUUUUGAGUUUCAUGCUCACGACGGGGGAAAAUGGAGGUCUUCACAUCACCUUCUUUAGCUGUAUUUGCUAUGAAGAAAAAUCGUUGUUUACCCCUCGGGAAUUUCUGAAGGAAAAGAAAAAUCAAUUUCUAUCAAUGAGUGAUAUUUUUCUCCCCAAGGGGUAUUGACUUCACAAUGGUGAGUUAUUUCCCUCAGACACCCACUGGGAAUUGUUAGCGGGCAUGUCUUUUAUGAUUUAAUAAACAUGUAGCUUUUAGCUUCGCUGUCUUGGCCAGGAGAUCCUGAUUUCUGGAUUAUCUCUGGUUUGAGCAGUUUACAAUCUUUACAUUCGGAUGAAAGGCUCCUGUUUCCGUAUUUUAAGUUAACAAACGUGCUCUCCCCUUCUGCCUCUUUAAUUGGAGAACAGGCCUUCUGAUGAAGCAGCAAGUGAGCAAGCCUUUUUUCUCACUCUUUCCAGCGUCUCCUCUUGGCUUAUGCAGUCAAGUCUACCUCAAUGCCUCCAUGACUCCUUUUCCUCUUCUUAUAUACUAGCACAAUACUGAUAUUUUUAAAUUUUAUAAUAAAAAAAGAACAUUUUUCAUUGCUGUGAGAACAGUUCUUACUGGAGAAAUCAAAGACUGGCUCAAAUGUACCAUGUAGCCCAGGUUAGUCCCAAAUUUAUCCUCUCAUACUGAGUGUUGGGGUUAUAGGUAUACCCAGCUUGAAUUAAAACUCUACUUUGCCAGAGAACCCAUUCUGUAAAGAAAUCUUUUAAGAGGAGGGGAUGGAGGAAAAGACAGAGACUAUGGAAGCCAUGUGGGCUGGUUGGCUUGAAUUGUCAACUUGACACAGCCUAGAGUCUUAAGAGAAGAGAGUCUCAACCGAGGAAUUGCUUAGACGAAGAUCGUCCUUUGGGCAGGUCUGUGGAAGAUCGUCUUGAUGUCUCACUGAUGCAUGAGGGUCCAGCCUGCAGGCAGCAGCGUCUUUAUUCAGGGAGUCCUGUGAUGUAUAAGAAACCUGGCUAAGGGCUGGAGAGAUGGCUCAAGGGUUAAGAGCACUGACUGCUCUUCCAGAGGUCCUGAGUUCAAUUCCCAACAACCACAUGGUGGCUCACAACCAUCUGUCAUGGGAUCUGAUGCCCUCUUCUGGUGUGUCUGAAGACAGCUACAGUGUACUUAAUAAAUAAAACAAAUAAAUAAAUCUUUAAAAAAGAAAGAAAGAAAGAAAGAAAGAAAGAAAGAAAGAAAGAAAGAAAGAAAGAAACCUAGCUAAGCAUGAGCCUGAAUAAGCAAGCAAACUGUUACUUUCUGGUUCCUAGUCCAAGUUCCUGCUUGAGUUUGUGCCCUGACUUUUUAGUCAUGGUGUUUGUCAUGGCAACAGCAGGAAACUUGGAUGUUUUGCCGCUGUGACUGUUCAUCCUCUCUGGCCGUUGUCUUGAAUCUGUGUGUUUUCUUCAUGUAUUUUUCUUGAGUGUGUUCAGGGAGGAGCCAAGAUAAGUCUCUGGUGCCAUUCCUCAGGAGCUGUCCACCUUAUUUUUGAGAAAUGGAGCUCUGCUACUGGCCCAGAGCAUAGCUACAGGGAUAGGCAGGUUGACCAGUAAGUCCUGGGGAUCCACCUGUCUCUACCUCCCCACUGCUGGUGUUUCAAGCACAUCCAUAAUGCUUGAUUUUUGUUCCUCUCUCUCUCUCUCUCUCUCUCUCUCUCUCUCUGUUUGUUUUGUCUUUUUUAAAAUGUAUGUGAUGGAGGUUGAAGCAAAACUUCAUGCUUGUGUAGCAAGGACUUUAUCAUCCGAGCCAUCCCUCCAGCCUAGGCAUGGAGUUUAAGAGGAAACAGAUUGUGAGACAAGUUUUCCUGUGGCUUCCCCCUUAAUUCUAACAUUUCCAUGACAGCAUGGCUCUCCAUUGCCAGCUAGCUGAGGCUAGCCCUUGCUUUGUUGCCAGACUCUUCAUUUAGCUCAUCAUUGUAGGGGUGCUUCUGGCAUAUGUCGGUAACCUGAUGACGUCUUUCUUUCUUUCUUUCUUUCUUAUGUCUCAUCGAAUGACUACACCCAUCUUCUACCCAGUGGCAUGAUCAUUUUGACAGUCUUGCCCUCAGUGUUUGCCGGAGAAUAGUAGUUUAGGAGCUUUGAUCACACUUAAUGCUCAUGUCUGGGCUCUUAAAGAGAUCUCAAAUUUGCAACAUACCCUAAGCUUUCACAUAAUCUCUUUCCUGUUCUAGGUUUCUGAAACUUUGCUCUUGUCUUUCUGUAUUUCCACGUCUCCCCAAUCUUUAGUCUAACACCAGGAAUAUAACUAUAUGUGUGUGGCCUCUCUUGAAAAGCACCCUGCUGUGAUUGAAAUAUGUCCCUGAUCCUGAGCUCACCCAAGCCUUUACUCUCUGAAUUCAGAUGUCAACAGUAUUAGAAGAGUGAAACCCAACCCCACUCUGUUGAUUGGAUGUUGAUGGAGAAUGGUGUAUGUAGAGCUCCCAUGAGUGAGGUGGGAGGUGGUCUCAUAAGGAGACAGAGCACUUUCAUAGAAAUACCUCACCAGAGCCCAGGCCACAGGAUCUGCUUGCGUGUGCUGCCUCUAAGAUGAUGAGUUGAACAAACCUCUUUCUUUCUACCAGUGCCCUACCUCAGGUAUUUUAUCAUAGUGACAAAGAUGCUGGCCAACAAAUCCUGAUCUCUUCUCUAAAUAAAUUCAUCUUCAUGUUUCAAGGUCCAAUUUAAAAUUCAUUUGUGUUCUUCUGGUUAGCUGUCACGCUACCACAAUCCAGAGUCAUCUGGAAAGAGAGAACCCCAGUUAAGGAAUUGCCUCCAUCAGAUUGAUUCAUAGGCAAAUCUGCCGGGACAUUUUCUUGACUGAUGAUUGAUAAGGGUAGACUCAUUGAGGGAAGUGCUACCCUGGGCAGUGCCAUCCCUGAGGGCAGUGUCACCCCUGGGCAUAUGGUUCUCAGUCGCAUGAGAAUGCAAGCUGAGUAAGCCAUGGACAGCAGUAGGGUAAACAGGGAUCCUCCCUGGCCUCGGCUUGAGUUGCUGCCUUAAGUUUUCACUUUGUCUUCCAUUCACAGUGGAUUGUAAUCUGUACAGUGAAAGGAACCAGUUCCUUCCCAAGCUGAUUUUGGUCAAAACUUUUGAUCACAGCAACAGAAAGCAAACUAGGAUAGCUGUGUGAUCUAGAAACCCUGGUCACACAUGCCUGUUGCUUAUCAAAAAACGAAGUAAGCUGUUUUGUUCCUUCAGCCACGUUCUCUGAGUGCUUCCUGUGGGCUAGCUUUCAUGAUGUCACGCGAUAAGAUAUCAAAAUCUUUGGGGUGGAAUUUAUAUUUCGGGGCAAGAAAUAACCAUAGGCCAGUUCUAACAUUGGGCAGAGCAAAUGCUAUGGACACAAGGGAAGCUGGGUGGGGUAGAGAGGACCAAAGAUGACUGCAGGAUGCCAAGAGAAAGGUAGCUCAGAACACAAUCCCUGGUACCUGCCCGCCACAGAGCCUGGCAUCUAAGAAAAUGCCCCACAGCAUCUGCUAAAUGAGAAUCCCACUGGCUUAAGGAGACCUGAAGGAGAUAAAGGCUAUGACUAGGAAUUGGCCGGAUAUAUGAUUUCAUGUGUUUCACACCGGUCUCUCUGACUGUGUCUGGUUCUGGGUAGGCCAUGCAUUGACUGUGUUUGCAGCAUGUGCUGUGGUCAACAGUGACUCCAUUUAGGGAUGACCACGCCCAUACCUGUCUAUUGAGAAUCACAUACUUUCCUCCUAACCAAACUGAGACUGACCGGUGAAUGAAAUGUUUAUGUUUGAGAGAAUUGGUGUUCUUAUCAGCUUUUCUCUUUAUAACAAUGAUCUAGAUCUUGCAUUUUUUCUCACAUUUGUGUUUUUGAAUGAUUAGCAAAGCCAAACUGGACCAGGCAGAUUUUGCCUCUUCUUGCGCAGACGUGGUAGCCAUGAUGGUUGUGUGAUCUCUGAGCUAGUGGCUUCCUGCUCUGGGUAUGAUGAGCUCGAUUUUUGCAUUCUAUGCUUAAUAUUCUAUUCUAUUCUAUGCCUUUCCAUCCUGUACCCUAUCACCGCAUCUGGCUUUAACACCCUUCCUACCCCUUCUUAUUUUCAGGCAAGACUAUCUUCUCAAGAGCAUCUUAAAGAUCGGGGGCUAAAAGUCUCAGUAAAGUACAAGCACAGGGCCAGAGUUUGGAACCCCAGCGCCCAUGUGAAGCCUGAGCGUGGCUGCACUCAACCUUCCAUCUCAGAGCUUGGGAGGGAACAAAGGAGUAUCCUUGUGACUUGCUGGCCAGUCGGUCUGUCUAGCCAAUCAGUGAUCUUCAGGUUCAAUGAGAAACAGGCUUCAAAAAGUAAUGCAGAGAGUAACUGAAGACGACACCAUAUAAACUUAUAUAUGCAUGUGUGGCACAUAUAGAAGUCAUAUAAGUCACAUAUAUAUGUAUGUGUGUGUGUAUGUUCUAUGUACAUAAAGAAGACACAGUGUGCCUUCUAUAUAUCUUCUAUAUGCUCAUGCAUUCAUACAUACAUACACAUGAACAUAUACACACACGUGUACUCCCUUAACACCAAAGAGUAUUCUGAAGAUUAGAUGUCUUUUAUUAGCAAACUAUCUUGGGUUGUAGAGUUGGGAAGAAGAGGAAUUGAGAUGAACCAGCUCUAUUCUCUACUCCUGUCGACAAGAACUAAGCAGACAAAGGGACUGGAGUAACAACUGUUUUUUCCCUAGACAGCUGCUGUGUCCUUUCUCCAUCUCACCUCCUUGGUGAAAUGGCAUUUUCCUCGGUCUGGUCUUGUACCUGAGCUGUCAUUCUGUCACUCAGACCACACAACAAAUGCCAAGGAAGUUCACCCUCCCAAGUUCAUGUUGGCAAUUAGGGAAGCUCAUGUUGGCUCUUAGCCACACUAUUUUGGUUAGUCCACAUCUCUCUGUGUGACUCUUUGCUAGUCUCCACGAUCGGAUUCAAGACACCCCAAGAGACUGCCGCAUGCUCUGAGAGCCUGUCACAGGCUCUGUGCCCUGCGCUUUGCAUCCUCAGCCUGCAGGCACUCUUAGUGAAGUCUGUGUUGCUGUCGAUGGAGUUAGCUAAGAGAACAAUUAAUUGGCUUGGUGUGCAGUCUGUCUCUUCUUCAGGUUAUUAAUGUUAUCAAUGUCUGGUUACACAUGUGUGUGUGUCUGUGGGCAUAUGUGUGUAUGUAUGUAUGUAUGUAUGUAUGUAUGUAUGUAUGUAUGUAUGUAUGUGUAAUAGCAUGUGCCAGAGUCCAAAAAUUAACCUUACAUGUCUUAGAUGCUUUCUCCCCAGGGUAUCUCACUGUCCUAAAACUUACCAAAUAGGGUGGGAUGACUGUCCACUGGCUGUCCCUCAUGUCCCUGCCUUUCUCAUGCUGGAGUUAUAAGCACACCUGUGUUUUUCCAUGGGUCCUGGGGACCAAGAUUUGAUCCUCAUGCUGGUACAGCAGCUGCUUUGUGAACUGAGACUUCUCUCCAGACCCCACUAAAUAGUUCUAAAACUUGUUCAAUGUUUCCUGUCCUUCAAACUGCAUCAAAGUAAGGGAAACAUACAAAAUAUGCAUAAUCUGUGCAUGCUUUGUUGACAACAAUGCCCAGUGCUGGCCAGUAUAAGUAUGUCUGGAGAUCUUUUAGAAAUGAGGGGUAAAUUCUGAGGGCAGGAAGGUUUUAGGGGAAGGUGUGUGUGUGUGUGUGUGUGUGUGUGUGUGUGUGUGUGUGUAUGUGUGUAAAACUGCCUGCAAAUUGGUAUAGGCUGAGAAAUUCAAUUAAUCGUAUUCAUCAAUUUUUCACUCUGGGUGGGGAAAUGAGGCAGAGAUGUGGAAUUCUUGGCCCCACCCCUGUUAUGGCAUUUUUAUUAAAAGAAAGAAAAGAAAAACUUGGCAUAUUACAUCAACCAGAUUUUCCCCGCUUUGUCUCAAAGAAGGCUCAGCUGAACAGUAGCCUCCUCACCCAGUAAAACAAUCAAAAACUCACAGGACCUCAGCUGCUUCGGAUGAUGUCACAGAACCCUUAAGAACGCUCGCCGCUGACUGGGCUCGGCUCCAGCAAGAACAAUUCUUCCUGCCAGCUAUUCAGGGCCUUUGACAGAUUAGGUGGUCUUCCUCUCUCUUUCUCUCUCUUUCUCUUUUUAAUUCUUCUUUUCCUUUCCCCCUCUCUCUCUUUUUCCUUUUCUUUUUUUAUCUUCUCAAAAGGCACUUCAGUUUACCUCUGAGCACGACAUUAGCUCUGGCUGCCCCAAAUAACAUUUUAAUUGAAGUCUCAGUCCAAACAAAUGCCGGGCCUCUUUAUUAACCCCAACAGUGUAAUUUUUCACCCUGAGUCUGAUUCAGGGAAGCUGUGUCACUUAAGUCGCCGUGCGACGGAACAUGGCAGCUCUGGUCCAUCCGUCUCUUUUCUGACCUUAAUUUGAACCUUAAUCUCUUUUAGCCGUGUUCUCUUUAUUAGCUGCCCAUCGCCCUGCCCUGUGCUAAUUUCCCUGCUAGAGUCUCCAGGCACAGAAGCAGCCCCCUCCACCACGGUCCCCAAACGGAACCAUCAAAGUUUCUUAGCUUUACUUUGGGGAUAGGGAAAGGGAUAGUUCGAGUAUCUUUGUCCAGUAAUCUCGAUGGCUCCUUUGCAAAAAACAGUCUGUAAAAUUUUAACUAUUUCUGACAUUCACGAGAUUUAUGUUUAUAACACUAACAUGCUCUUUAACUGUUAGGAAAAACUGGAAAAACUCUCGAAAGUGAACACAAGGGAUUCUUCACCUAUGGACAGACCCAUGAUUAGAAAAUAAAGCAGAAAACUGAGAUUACUGCCUUACUAAUCCAGGCAAAGACAAUAUGUCUUUAUCAGAAAUCUCUAACCUUUUGGGGGGGGCAGCACCUGAAUUACCCAGAUAAUUGCUUUAAUUCAUUUACUCAUUUUAACGCUUAGACAUGACCAGUGGCCAACAGCAGAGAAAUUUCUUUUUACUAAUUAUACUUUCCCAUUUUUCAACAUUGGUCAAAUGAUCCAAAUGGGAGACUAGGGAGAAAAAGCACUACUUUUCAAUCGCAACGAUAGAAACGUGUUUCUCUAUUUGGAGUCUAGCUUAAUAUAGCAGAAGUUUGUAGGUAGAAAACAGUGCUUAUGAUCGUGUGCCCAAUUAAAUUUAUUAUAGGUUUCCGUACUUUUUGGCACUGCCGUGGAAGCAUAUUAGUUAUCAUUCUUUAUAACCUAAUUGGCGGCUUUGUGUCUAGUCGGCCCUCUGUUCUCUGCAGAAUACAAUAGUUUGUUGAUUGCAAAAAAUUACAUUUCUGUGACUUUAAAGUCCUAGAGCUGGGGUCGUCAUUGAACGAUGUAGGCACAGCCGGGUGUUUCAGAGGGCAAGGACCAAGUGCCCUCUGGGACUGGGGAGGGAGGCAGCUGGGGACAAUUGCCUGCUCCCUGCAGUGUUCCGUGGUCUUCACAGCAUGCUUGAUAAACUUUGCCUUCAUUUCCCUGGCUAGAACAAUUAGUGAGGAUGAAUCAGAGUUCUCUUGGAUCACAGUUUAUUAUAUGCUAUUAAAUUCCAUUAUUCGAGAAGUUACUUCUGUGAUCACCAUCAAACUUCUCCCCGGCCCUCCGUGGAGUCUCUGUUGCAUGUUGGCUGUUUGCUUCUGUGAUAGGCAAGGUUUCUUUCUCUUUCCCGUUAGCACUUACUCAGAGCACUUGAAGCUAAUUUGAAAAUACAUCUUUGAAAGGACAACAACAAAAAAAAAAGAGAUGUGGUGGGGGUGGCCCACAACGGCGGAGGAAGGUUCUUAAUUAGUCCGUUAUUUUACACGCACGAUUUAACAUGGUGUGUUUCGCGCUCUACAUUCCCCAAAAGAACAAGGCUCUUUUUUUUUCACCCUCAUCCCAAAACUUCCCCCUCACUCCUUCUGUCCCCCUUGUCAUUUUCUAUUAACCAACCCUGACAUCCUGUCCUGGAAGGAUGAGCAAACAGAUCACUUCCAAACUGGUGUAAGUGACACUGAGAGCUCUGGCCAGAAGCGAGAGUUUGUGACAGCAACGAGCUCCUCAGCCCCUGGGGUUAGAGACUGUCACUUCAAUAAUAUACUGAAGUCCCCUGUCACAGCAUGUCUGCAGCAAGUCACCAAAUGUCCAGGAGUAGUAGGGCUUGUCUAGGAAGAUAACGGGCAGUGGGAUGAUCUAAAGUCCGUCUUGCUGCUAAUGGCAACAGAGGAGAUUAACACCACAAACUGCUGUACUACCUCAGCCAUCCUGCACCACCCAUUCUGCAGGUGGGGAAACUGAGGACCUGCCAUAGCCUGGCAUCAGGUGUCUCUGCUCAUAAUGUACGUGUUGAAGCUGAGGUUUUAAGUGUUGUGCGAUGGACUUCAGGCUCAUGUCUGUUUCUAGAAGAACCACACACCAGCCUUCUGGUACUGGCGGUGAUGGGGUGUCCGAAUUUCUUUUGGGAUCUGAAGGAGAGAGGUACCUUCUGGUACUGUCGUGAUGGGCUGCAGACAACGUGAAUAAGCCAGGGUUGGACAGAGGUGCCUUGACUUUGUUAAGAAAGGAAGCUGGAAGGUUUGCUCUGGUCAGGUCAGCCCUGUUGGUGCACUUCUCUGCCUGCUCCCCGACUCCUCCCCCUGCUUCUAAGAAGUAAAAGUUGGGGAGGGACAGCAGCAGAUGUGGACUGGAGCAGCCAGGAGCCAGCACAGGCUGUAGCCAGACCCUUACACUGUCUUCAGGCCUCCCAGGGCUUCUGUUCUUAAGACCAACAAUGUCGAGUAUUGCCCAACUCUCAGUCCUUGAUCUUUCUUGAACAAGUGUUAGCCUUUUCCCCCUAGUAACCCCAGAAUUACGUUAUUUAUUGCUACACAAGAAGGCUGUGGGCAUGCACUGAAGGCGAUAAAGAAGACUUGAUGGUCUGUAACCAGAUGCUACCUGUUAGUUGACUAAGGGCCUGCUAGACCUCCACAGUUCCUGCAGGUUCUACACGUGGUCACCGUGGUCCCAUUGCUGUGGACAUGUGUCAGGGGACAGCAGCAUGACAGAAGAGCAGAGGGGCUCAGUUGCUGCUGGGGUGUCCGGGAAAGCAGAAUGCAUUGGUAAAAGAAAGGUGAAUACAUUCCUAAAGGACCUGGCCCCUGCUGAUCUACGUUUUCUCUUUAGGAUCCACCACAUUCUAGGUGCACCAACAGCUGGAGGCUGAAGAUUCAACGCACAAGCUUUUGGUGGACAUUUAGGAUCCGACCCUACAUACCAAAGGGAUGAUUGACAGCUCUACAUAGGAUAGCUUUCUGGCCUAGGCUUCGCACACAUCUGUAGCCAGGUAGACAUGGUGGCUGUAGGGAAGGAUGUAGAUACCACCUGCACUAAAGUUAGGUGUCAGCACCACAGUGUCACCUGCCGUCUUCAGUCCCAUCAACUGCUCCCUGAGUUUGGCAAAUUGUCCUUUGUAUGCCCAUCUGUCAUGAAUGCUUGAAAGUUAGGAAUGGAAGCAAGACCAAGAGUUAAUGAUCAGAGAAAGAGCAGUGGCUUCGGGUGUGGUCCUCUGGAAUGACAGAGGAGAACAAGGCCCAAGAGAGGGUGGGCCAUAUAGCAGGAGGUGUAUUGCUUAAACAAACGGAGGGCAUGGGCUGGAGAGAUGGCACUGUGGGCAAAGUGCUUACUGCUCAAAUCUGGAAACCCAGGUUUGAAUCUCUAGCACCCAGGUAAAGGCUGGGGGUACAGCAGCAUAGAUAUCUGGGGGACACAGAGGCACAGAUGUCUGUAGUACUCACACAUCUACUAGAAAUGGAAGAUCUCUAGACACACUUGAGUCAGCCAAGGUAACCUGGGGUACACAGGGGUAGAAGAUACUCUGUCUCAAACAAAAUGGAAAAGUGAGAACUAAUACCCAAAGGUUUCCCCUGAUACCCACAUGUAUGCAACGAUAGGAACAGAGCAGCAUUUACAUGCCAAUGUGUGUGGGCACACACACUCUCUCUCUCAGCACUUGUACAUCACAUUCUAAUACAAUGGUUCUCAAAUUGUGGGGUGUGACACCUUGAGGGGGUCAAAGGACCCUUUCACAGGGGUUUCACAUCAGAUAUUUACAUGGUGAUUUAUAACAGCAGCAAAAUUACAGUUAUGAAGUAGAAUGAAAAUAAUUUUAUGGUUGGGGGUCAGCACAACAUGAGAAACUUUAUUAAAGGUUCACAGCAUCAGGAAGUUUGAGAACCCCUGCUCUAAAAGGAAAGUCAUUAUAAAAAGCUCUCUCUGGUCUCUGUCUCUGUCUCUGUCUCUGUCUGUCUGUCUGUCUGUCUGUCUGUCUGUCUCCUUUUCCUUCUUUUGAAAUUUUUGUGGUUUUGAGUCAGGGUUUUACCAUGUAGUUGAGGCUGGUCAGGAACUAGAUCACAGUGGCCUUGAACUCAGAAACUCCUGCAAAGGGGUCUGGAUGUUGAGAUUUAUAGGCAUGUGUUAACAUGUCUGGCUGAAUAAUUUAUCUUUGUCACCUUAAAAAAAUCUUUUAAUAUUCAGGUCAUCUCUCAGAAAUACAUAUAUUCCUGAGACUGUGUAAAAACUGUCUAUUGCCUAUAUAUCUAUCAUCUAUCUAUUGAUUGAUAGGCUUAACUAUCAUCUAUCCAUCAAUCCAUCAUCUUCCCAUCAAUUUUUCAAACUAGAUGAGUAGAUGACAGGAGAUUAGAUGUCCAGCAACAGGAGGAAGGGCGAACCACACACAGUGAAGCUGGGAGUCCCAUGACUCUCUAGACUUUGAAAAGUGUUGACUUCUAGAUGCCAAAGACUUGAAAGGGGUCUAAUGACCCACAGUGCUGACGUGUUUCUCAAGAUGGCAGAGCCAUUCUCUGUGUUGAAUAAACUGGCUAAACACGCUUGGUCUUUGUACUUUAGAGGAAAGCAUCCUCCACUUUCAACAGAACAGAUCAGCUCCUUGGCACUGGGGAUGGCUGAAUUGAUGAUGUGUAGGAUGUCCCCCAUAGUCCUGACAUUUUGCCAGAGGAAGGACGCAAGGCCAGGCCUUCAGGAGUCUCCUGGCCUCUGAUUGUGCAGGCAAAUCUCAGACUGUGAUCUCAAGAGCUGCCUUUCCUGUUCCCAUUUCCGUGACGAUGAAUGGGUCUAUAACGUUCUUUUUUUUUUUUUGGUUCUUUUUUUUCCGGAGCUGGGGACUGAACCCAGGGCCUUGCGCUUCCUAGGUAAGCGCUCUACCACUGAGCUAAAUCCCCAGCCCCGGUCUAUAACGUUCUUAUGUUCAACAAUUUCAUGUCCUGUUGGUCGCUGGUUGCAUGCACUGCACGUUUAUUUACUUCUUGUUUCUGUCAUCUCCAAAACUAAAUACAUGACUAAGUCAGGCUGCUCUGAGGGCGGCCCGGGGGGUUCCAAGAGCGAACUCACAUAGAAGAUUUAGAACAGCUCCUGGCAUACAGUAAGUGCUCAAGAACUGCUAGCAAUUGUUAUUGUUUCUACAUUAAUCUCCCCCAACCACAUCAUUAUUAUGCUAAUUUCAGAUAAGUUUUACUGAAAUAGUCUGCUCAUAGUCAAACGGCACUUACAUAUGGCCAUGUGCAUCAUGACUACUUUUUGAAACAAAGACUUACUUAUUCUCAUGUUACGUUGUUUAAUGGCUUCUCUCUCUGUCUCUCUCUCUCUCUCUCUCUCUCUCUCUCUCUCUCUGUGUGUGUGUGUGUGUGAAUAGACACACGUGUGCAGUGCCCCUGGAAAUGGGCAUCAGAGCCUUUAGAACUGGAGUCGUAGAGUUGUGACGAUCCACAUAAGUGUUAGGAUCCUCUGGAAGAGCAAGCAGUGCUCUUAACCACCGAACCAUCUUUCCAGCCCCGAGUUCUGAACCCUUUAUCUACUGAUGAACAACUAAGUUACUGCCAUAUCCUGGGUUCAGUAAAACAUGAGGCACUGCACCUGGGAACACAGACGUCUUGUUGAGUCUCUGCUUUACCUUGAUGCAUAUGUGCGGAGGAAGGAUUGUGGGGUUGUGUGCAGGCUGGUGUGAACUCGGGCACUGGGAAGGAUGGGAGACACUGGAACUGGACCUAAACCCAUUUCCUUCUGCCCCGAUCCUAAAUUGUAACCUCAGAAUGAGGCAGGUUGUGGGAAAGAGGCGGUCACUUGUGUUGGCGACUUUUUUAUAUAGAAGAAUAUGGCAUUGAUCUGCUAGAAAACACUCAAAGUUACGCUUUCAAAAAUGAAAUAAAAUUUAGGGACUGGAGUGAUGUCUCAGUGGUUAAGAGCAUGCGGUGCUCUUGCGGAGGACCCAGCAUUUGCAUGGUAUCAGGUCAUAAUUAUUGUAACUCCAGGGGCCUUACUCCCUCCUCUAACUAUUGUGGACACCAAGGGCUCAUGUGGUGCGCGGACGUACAUGCAGGCAAAACACUCAUACAUAUAAAAUACAUUUUAAAAAAGAAUUUUUAUUUCUUUCCUCAUACUAAAAAGGGAUAGGAGUUCUAUUAAUGGUUGUUAGUGAACCCUGUGGAAUGGCCUCAAGAACACUGUGUUCUCAGUCAGCCAGCACUGCCCAGUAUAGAAUCAGAUAUGGAGGAAGUGACUCUGCCCUUGAAGCACUCAAGAUCCACAGGGAACGCAAGGAAACAGAGAAUAAAAACCUCAGAUGAAUAAAAUACACCCACAGCCUCCCAGGAAGUUUAUUUGCUAUAACCCAUGUGGGUCAACAUUCUACUGUCCAUUCAACACAGUAAAAUAAAAUAAGGUGAUUGUUGAGUUGAGAGGAAAUUGAUCAUCAUGGCAUUGUCUCUGGCUUGGGACAAAGUGGCAAUCCCAUCUGUUUGUCUCACCUCAGGCUUAGCAAUCUCUAAGAGAAGAAUUGCUGAGAGAAGAGAGUGGAAUGCUAUGGCUGAUUAUUGUAAAUAACAAAAUUGAGGAAAAGAAUAUCUUAGUUACUUGUCUAUUGCGGUUACAAAGCAUCAUGACCAGGGCAACUUAUAGAAGAAAGCGUUUAAUUGGGGGCUUAAGGUUCCAGAGCGUGAGUCCAUGACCAUCAUAGCACAGAGCAUGGGGGAGACACAGGCAUGUCUUUGGAGAGUAGCUCAGAGAUUAUAUCUGACCCACAAGCAUAAAUGAGAGAGAGAGAGAGAGAGAGAGAGAGAGAGAGAGAGAGAGAGAGAGAGAGGAAGAAGGAGGGAGGAAGAGGGAGAGGGAGAGGGGGAGGGAACCUCAAAGUCCAUUCUCAAUAUCAUAUCCCCUUCAACAUGGCCAUACCUUCUAAUCCUUCCCAAGCAGUUCUACCAACUGUAGCUCAAGCAUUCAAAUGUUUGAGCCUGUGAGGGGCAUUCUCACUCAAACUACCUCAAGGAGAUCAAUCAUGAGAACAAAACAUGUAAUGAGGAGAAGGAAGGGGAGGAGGAGAAAAAGGAGAAGAAAAAGGAGAGAGAGGAGGGGGAGGAGAGAAAAGGAAGAAGCUGUGCUGUGACAGGGAAAGAAAUAUCACAGUAACAACAGAAAAGAAAGCCCGAACAGUGCAGAUGCCUAGCUGCCCCAUGACAACUCACAUUUCGCUUCCACACUUUGAUUUGUUUGUGAGGAUCAACUACUCAUCCAGGCACUGCUAUCACCCAAGCCUUCUGUCUUCUUGCUAGACAAUGUCAGGAUAGCUGGGGUGAUUCCCCCAAAUGUUGCAGAGCUCUAUGUGGAAGAAAUAUGCAUCACCAAAUCCUGCUCAAAGGAGGCACUCCAUUAGAUGUUUUCUGAGAUAUAAACCUACAUGUGUUAGGACAUGGAUAGAGUUUUGGGGAUUGCUUGUUUCAAUAGCAGAUAUGACAUAUACUGACUAGCCUAGAUAUUGGUAUUAGGAAGGGAAUCUAGAGGCAACUGUUUUCCUUUCUUUUUCUUUUCCUAGAGACCAAUUAGUUUAUGGGAUCAUAUCACUCUUCUUUUGUGUUGCCCAGACAUGACAUCUUCACCCUCAAGCUUGAUAUGACUUUCAAGGUGAUAAAGUUAAAGUUUUGCUGGGUUCUUUCCUACUCCAGCCAUCUGAGUUAAUGUAUCCUCUUCAAACAGCCCACAUCUUGAAUACAAGCUCAAUGACAUGUAGCUUAAGCUUUUGUCACAGGACCAGCUUUGAGUACUAAAGAUAGUAGUAAGAGUCUGCUUUCUCCAUAAACACAUAGAGGAAGACCACAGUCCUGCCCUCCCUUGUGAUUUACAUGGUCCUUUGUGGGGUAAAUGAGAGCAGAAGUUCCAUGCUAGGAAGUUAGGAGCAUGUGAGCACGCAUGUGCUUUCUCAUAUUCCCCACCUCCUCUUCCAUAACGACCCUGAGGAGAGAGGAUAAGAAGGAAAGAGAAGGUAUUACUUUAAGACUGAAGCCAGUCAACCUGCAUCCUGGACAGAGACCUCUGCUCUGUUAUAAGAUACAGACUUUAGGGGCUGUUCUUGUCUCAUUUCUGUUGCUGUAAUAACAUCCUGAUAUGCAACUUAAGGGAGAAAGGCGUUUACUUCUCUCGAUAUUUCAGGUUUCAGUCCAUCACAGGGGAGAAGCGAAGGCAGGUACUCGAAGUAAAUCACUUACAUCGUACCCAAGUCAACAGCAGAGAAUCAAAUGUAUGCACCCUUGCUUGCCUGUGUGCUUGCUCUCAGCUAACUAUCUUCUUCCUACACUGUCCAUGACCCCUGCCUAGGGAAUAGUGCUGCCCGGAAGGGGCUGGUUCUUCCUACAUCAAUUAAUCAGAAGUCUCCUCGCAGGUGUACCCACAAGCCAAUCUAAAUCUAGGUACUUCCUCAUUAAGACACUCAUCCCAGAGGCUGGAGAGAUGGUUUUGCAGUCAAAAGCACCUGCUACCCUUUCAGAGGAUCUGGUUCAGUCCGGUUCUCUGAGCUCACGUGGUGGUUCACAUCAUAGCUCCAGGUCCUGGGGAAUCUGACAUUGUUUCCUGACCUUUGAGGGCACCAGGUACAUACAUGUGCACAGGCAAAGAACUCACACACACACAAAUAUAAAAUUAAAAAAAUAAGUCUUUUCAGGUGAAGUUGACAGCUAAUACUAGAUAGCACAGAAGUUAUUAUUGAAACUAUGCCCACUCAGUUCUGUUCUGACUAACCUUCCCCGAAUAUUCCCCCAGGGAAUGGAAGCCAUAUGCAGAAAUAGAGGAUGAACAGAAUCACUGGCAAGGUGGGAAGGAGAGGUGCACAGGUGGACAGUGAUGAUUUCAGUCAUCUGCAUGGUUGGAGUGGGGGGAUUCUGGGAAGUGACAUACCACCCACCAUCUGUCUCCUGUCUGUGCACACGAAUACCUACCCGGGGCCAUUGCUUUAGAAAGAUGUCUCUUUUCCCCAUCUCUUCAUCUUCCCAUGAUUUCCACGACAGAUCACUCUAAGAAUCUUACUUGGCAAGGGAGUCUGGGAAAUGUAGUGUCUAGACUUUCAGGCACAUGGGAUGGUGGUGGGGUUUAUUUAAUCUUUAAGGUUUUAAUGACAAUAUUUGAGAUUUUAUGUAUUUUAUGUGUAAGGAUAUAUGUCCGUACGGCAUGUGCGUGCAGAGCCCCGAGGAGGGGAUGGGUGUGGAGUCACCUAUGGCUGUGAGCUGCUCUGUGGGUGUGGGAAAUGAACACGAGUCCUCUGGAAGGUCAAUCGAUGCUCUAAACCACUGAGGAAUUCCCAAGCCCAGGAAGUUUUUGGAAGUGUGAUGAGGGCACUUGUCUCUCUGCAAAAGAAGGUCUAGAGUUGUUGCACUUGGUCCUUCUGGUGAGACAGCCAACUGGUUAACCGCACCACAACCCACAUUUUCUUGAAAACUCUUCAAGAACAGAUCUUAAUGAACUUUGUGUCCACACCCCCCCCAACACGCAAUAAAUGGCUUUGAAUUGAUUUCAUUAACAUAGCAGAGUUGAAAGGAGCCAAGGAAGUGGUCCCUGUGUGUGUAAGUCAGAUCUUAGUAUCACCACCCACCUCAUGGAUCCUGGUGGUUCUUCUUAAUCUCCCACCCAGCAGAAGGCACUUCCUCCCCACCCUGCUCAGAGUGAGGAUGACCCAAAUUCUUGGGUUCUGUCUGUGCACACAAAGAAAGGAUGGAGGGUCUAUGGAUGCCCUGCCUUACUGGAUCCACAGAAACUGUCAAGUAUUUUUUUUUGUUGUUGUUGUUGUUGUUCGUUUUGAACUGUAUUAUUAAGUCAUUUAAAAAGUUGUUCAAAAUGUGUCAAUACUGGUUCUGAACACAGCCUUGUACUCUGGUAAGAGGUGGAAUUCCUCUUUGGGUCUGGGGAGGGUGGGCUGUGGGUCCCAACUGGGACAGAGCGGGAAUCAUCCAUAAGUGAGUGCAUCUGAGCGCAUGGAAGGCCCGCUCAGUCAUUAAAAAAUGAUAUUUAGAAAGAGGCGGGCAGGCCCCAGUUUUGCUUCACCUCGCAAAAGCAUGAGGAUAAUUAAACCCGUCCUGCCAUAUUUUCUUCAGUACCGCCAAAAGCUGAAACUAUUGUUCCUCUGGUAAGAAUGAUGGUGGAGUGACUCAGACUUAUUUACAACCAUCAAAGACACGACUGAUACGGAUCGUGGCAUAAUUAAGCUUGUCAUAAUAAAGAGGUGACCGUAUCGGGACAAUCACGGGGGCUGUUAUGAUGUCACAGUUGCCUGUGCCCAGCGUUUAGCCUCUAGUUUCCACUCCCGCCCACGCUUAUCUCCAGCUAUAUUUGGUUGUUUUACGGUGCUACCUGGACCACCGUCUGCUUUACAAAAUAAAUGAGCAGAUUGCACUCCACGGAACCCAUUUCCCUUGCUUAUUGAUGCUUUUCCUUGGUUUGAUAUGUUUUGGCCAUUUCGUACCUAGAAUCGCAGCUGAAAUAGUCACGGGUUUGCUUUGUAUGAAGGGGAGCACAGCUCUGAGCAAUCAGCUAGUGGAUAUUGUUGAGCUGGUUGGUGAGUUUGGAAAAUUCCACUCUUAAAAAAAAAAAAAGGCUACUUUCUCCAUAGCAGAUUUCCUCUUGGCUGCAAUUAUCCACAGAUGAUUGUCCAGUUUCCCAGUGGUCUUAACGGCUGCUGACAUCCCCCAAACAGCGUAUUUGAUGGAUUUUAUGAGAUAUGCCUAGUGAUCUUUUUCUAGGUGGCUUAUCUUUUUUUUUUAACCAGCUUGUGCAGUUACUUAAUAAAUAAAGAAAACUGUCUGAUCUCCCCAGCA
Molecule: non-coding RNA, 29867 nt
Organism: Rattus norvegicus (Norway rat)
Lineage: Eukaryota; Metazoa; Chordata; Mammalia; Rodentia; Muridae
Source: RefSeq, a predicted model, not a curated record